ACGUGGCAAAAAAAGAUCUCUGGAAACGC
Molecule: small RNA, 29 nt
Filed under: Bombyx mori (domestic silkworm)
Lineage: Eukaryota; Metazoa; Arthropoda; Insecta; Lepidoptera; Bombycidae
Description: ovarian small RNA-11612
Source: RNAcentral